RNAcentral lists this ribosomal RNA (460 nucleotides) under uncultured bacterium. RNAcentral's name for it is "partial 16S ribosomal RNA". It matches the Rfam family "Bacterial small subunit ribosomal RNA", at positions 338 to 795 of the family's 1533-position model. The record is from RNAcentral.
CCUACGGGAGGCAGCAGUGAGGAAUAUUGGUCAAUGGGCUUACGCCUGAACCAGCCAAGUCGCGUGAGGGAAGACUGCCCUAUGGGUUGUAAACCUCUUUUGUCAGGGAGCAACGCCGGCUACGUGUAGCCGGACUGAGAGUACCUGAAGAAAAAGCAUCGGCUAACUCCGUGCCAGCAGCCGCGGUAAUACGGAGGAUGCGAGCGUUAUCCGGAUUUAUUGGGUUUAAAGGGUGCGUAGGCGGAAGGUUAAGUCAGCGGUAAAAUGUCGGUGCUCAACACCGGCCUGCCGUUGAAACUGGUCGUCUUGAGUGAGCGAGAAGUAUGCGGAAUGCGUGGUGUAGCGGUGAAAUGCAUAGAUAUCACGCAGAACUCCGAUUGCGAAGGCAGCAUACCGGCGCUCAACUGACGCUGAGGCACGAAAGCGUGGGGAUCGAACAGGAUUAGAUACCCCAGUAGUC